Molecule: ribosomal RNA, 465 nt
Filed under: uncultured Klebsiella sp.
Lineage: Bacteria; Pseudomonadati; Pseudomonadota; Gammaproteobacteria; Enterobacterales; Enterobacteriaceae
Description: bacterial SSU rRNA
Rfam family: Bacterial small subunit ribosomal RNA
Source: RNAcentral
CCUACGGGUGGCAGCAGUGGGGAAUAUUGCACAAUGGGCGCAAGCCUGAUGCAGCCAUGCCGCGUGUGUGAAGAAGGCCUUCGGGUUGUAAAGCACUUUCAGCGGGGAGGAAGGCGGUGAGGUUAAUAACCUCAUCGAUUGACGUUACCCGCAGAAGAAGCACCGGCUAACUCCGUGCCAGCAGCCGCGGUAAUACGGAGGGUGCAAGCGUUAAUCGGAAUUACUGGGCGUAAAGCGCACGCAGGCGGUCUGUCAAGUCGGAUGUGAAAUCCCCGGGCUCAACCUGGGAACGGCAUUCGAAACUGGCAGGCUAGAGUCUUGUAGAGGGGGGUAGAAUUCCAGGUGUAGCGGGGAAAUGCGUAGAGAUCUGGAGGAAUACCGGUGGCGAAGGCGGCCCCCUGGACAAAGACUGACGCUCAGGUGCGAAAGCGUGGGGAGCAAACAGGAUUAGAUACCCGAGUAGUC